Molecule: ribosomal RNA, 337 nt
Filed under: uncultured bacterium
Lineage: Bacteria
Description: bacterial SSU rRNA
Rfam family: Bacterial small subunit ribosomal RNA
Source: RNAcentral
CUAGUGGUGGUUAGGGUUAGAAAGAGUGGUUUCGGCUAUCACUUUAGGAUGGACCCGCGGUGCAUUAGUUAGUUGGUGAGGUAAAGGCUCACCAAGACCGUGAUGCAUAGCCGACCUGAGAGGUAAUCGGCCACACUGGGACUGAGACACGGCCCAGACUCCUACGGGAGGCAGCAGUAGGGAAUCUUCCACAAUGGACGAAAGUCUGAUGGAGCAACGCCGCGUGAGUGAAGAAGGUUUUCGGAUCGUAAAACUCUGUUGUUGGAGAAGAAUGUAUCUGAUAGUAACUGAUCAGGUAGUGACGGUAUCCAACCAGAAAGCCACGGCUAACUACGUG